RNAcentral lists this transfer RNA (66 nucleotides) under Sitona callosus. RNAcentral describes it as "tRNA-Glu". The record is from RNAcentral. Lineage: Eukaryota; Metazoa; Arthropoda; Insecta; Coleoptera; Curculionidae.
GUUUAAAUAGUUUAAAAAAAACAUUACAUUUUCAUUGUAAAAUUAGAAUACUCUUUCUUUUAAAUA